Notechis scutatus (mainland tiger snake) is the source of this 152-nucleotide non-coding RNA. The record is from RefSeq and is a predicted model, not a curated record. NCBI's taxonomy places the organism in Eukaryota, Metazoa, Chordata, Lepidosauria, Squamata, Elapidae.
GAUGGAAGGCAGGUUGGUAGUAAUUGUUUUUUCUGCAGUCCUAAUUAUCCUCUGGAGUCUGUGUCUGUUCUGUUGGGUUGCAGAACCAAACCAGACAGUUAUAGAGGUGCCGAUGACAGACUCCAUCGUUCCUCUGUAGAACUGGAUCAACA